Perca flavescens (yellow perch) is the source of this 569-nucleotide long non-coding RNA. RefSeq lists it as uncharacterized. The transcript is spliced from 2 exons. Lineage: Eukaryota; Metazoa; Chordata; Actinopteri; Perciformes; Percidae. The record is from RefSeq and is a predicted model, not a curated record.
ACCCCUUACCAGGAGGGACAAUGCUCUGAAUGGGCCGUGUCCUGCAGUGGCCUGGCUUGCUGAUCUUCUCCUCCCUCGGUGUUGCUGCUGACUGGAUCUCCUGUACCCUGGUGGAGCUGAAUCCCAGACUCUGCAGUGCCAGAUCCAGGGGCCGACGGCAGAGCAGCAGACACGGCAGUAUUGUUGAUGAGCCCACUUGAAGUAGAGGAAAGGAAAGUUGUCCCUCUAGUCAGCCGAGACUGGUUUAAAGUUGCCGGGCUAGGAGCAGGCUACCCAUUGAUUUUACAUUUCUCCACUGACAGAAGCAGAGCGGCACCACAGAAUUCCUGGUUCUGGAUCUCUGGACUGGACUCGGCUAUUCAAAGCCCCGCUGAAGCAGAUCUUCUGUGCCGUGCCAGGAGAAACCCGGAGCUGACUCCAGGCUGGACUGGACUUGGGUGUUGUUUCACCCUGGGACAGAAUAUUGGACAAUCUAUGGUUUUAUUGUCUCCCUGGUUUUUGAGGAGAAUGUGAUUUUAAUGUCAGUUUAAAUUUAACUUUAAAAAUAAUAGAAUACUAUUUUUAUAUAU